AUAAAUUUUUUAUGAUUUAUAUAAUUUUUUUUAAAUUUAUUUUACAUAUAAAUUUUAGUAUAUAAUUUUAAUUAUUUUAAUAAUAAUUAAUUUUUUUAAGUAGUAAUUAAUAUUAAAAAUUUAAGAAAUUAAGAUUUAGUAAUAUAAAAAUUAAUAACAAAUUUUGUGCCAGCAGUUGCGGUUAUACAAAAAUUAAAUUAAAUUUUAUUAGAUAUUAAUAAAUAAUUUAAAAAUUAAUUUAAAUAUGAAAUUAUUAGGUGAAAUUUUAAUUUAAUUAAAAAUUAAAAUUUAAUUAUGAAUUAAUAAAUUUUAUUAUAAACUAGGAUUAGAUACCCUAUUAUUAAAAAUUUAAAUAAAUAUUCUAAAAUAGUAGAUAAUUAUUUAUUGAAACUUAAAUAAUUUGGCGGUAUUUUAGUUCAUUUAGAGGAAUCUGUUUAUUAAUUGAUAAUCCACGAAUAAUUUUACUUAAUUAACAAUUUUGUAUAUCGUUGUUAAAAAAAUAUUUUUAAAAAAUUUUAAUAUUUAAAAAUUUAGAAUUGAAAUUAAAUCAGAUCAAGAUGCAGAUUAUAAUUAAGAAUAUAAUGGAUUACAAUAAAUUUAUUUAUAUGAAUAUUUUAUUGAAAAAUUAAAUUGAAAGUGGAUUUAAAUGUAAUUUUAUUUAGUUUAAUAAAAUGAUUAAAAAUUAAAAUAUGUACAUAUUGCCCGUCGCUUUCAUUUAUAAGUUGAAAUAAGUCGUAACAAAGUAGAGGUACUGGAAAGUGUUUCUAGAAAG
RNAcentral lists this non-coding RNA (772 nucleotides) under Grapholita molesta (oriental fruit moth). The record is from RNAcentral. Lineage: Eukaryota; Metazoa; Arthropoda; Insecta; Lepidoptera; Tortricidae.